This 337-nucleotide ribosomal RNA is filed under the name uncultured bacterium. RNAcentral describes it as "bacterial SSU rRNA". It matches the Rfam family "Bacterial small subunit ribosomal RNA", at positions 8 to 353 of the family's 1533-position model. The record is from RNAcentral.
AGAGUUUGAUCCUGGCUCAGGAUGAACGCUGGCGGCGUGCCUAACACAUGCAAGUCGAACGAUGUUCGUAAGGACAUAGUGGCGCACGGGUGAGGAACACGUAGCUGACCUGCCUCAGAGUGCGGGAUAACGCCCCGAAAGGGUGCUAAUACCGCGUAAGCUCACGGAGUUUAGAAGCCUGUGAGAAAAGGCCUUCGGGUCGCCUUGAGAGGGGGCUGCGGCGCAUCAGGUAGUUGGUGGGUAACGGCCUACCAAGCCAACGACGCGUAGGGGGUCUGAGAGGAUGAUCCCCCACACUGGGACUGAGACACGGCCCAGACUCCUACGGGAGGCAGCA